RNAcentral lists this ribosomal RNA (178 nucleotides) under Drosophila virilis. RNAcentral's name for it is "5.8S ribosomal RNA". It matches the Rfam family "5.8S ribosomal RNA". From Rfam's summary of the family: 5.8S ribosomal RNA (5.8S rRNA) is a component of the large subunit of the eukaryotic ribosome. It is transcribed by RNA polymerase I as part of the 45S precursor that also contains 18S and 28S rRNA. Functionally, it is thought that 5.8S rRNA may be involved in ribosome translocation. Lineage: Eukaryota; Metazoa; Arthropoda; Insecta; Diptera; Drosophilidae. The record is from Rfam by way of RNAcentral.
CACUCUAAGCGGUGGAUCACUCGGCUCAUGGGUCGAUGAAGAACGCAGCAAACUGUGCGUCAUCGUGUGAACUGCAGGACACAUGAACAUCGACAUUUUGAACGCAUAUCGCAAUCCAUGCUGUUUUGUACUUUAAUUAAUUUUAUAGUGCUGCUUGACUACAUAUGGUUGAGGGUUG